GGGGGUAUAGCUCAACGGUAGAGCAUUUGACUACAAAUCAAGAGAUCCCUGGUCCAAAUCCAGCUGCCCCCU
Carcharodon carcharias (great white shark) is the source of this 72-nucleotide non-coding RNA. The record is from the annotation of a RefSeq genome assembly. NCBI's taxonomy places the organism in Eukaryota, Metazoa, Chordata, Chondrichthyes, Lamniformes, Lamnidae.